Neofelis nebulosa (Clouded leopard) is the source of this 1233-nucleotide long non-coding RNA. RefSeq lists it as uncharacterized. Lineage: Eukaryota; Metazoa; Chordata; Mammalia; Carnivora; Felidae. The transcript is spliced from 2 exons. The record is from RefSeq and is a predicted model, not a curated record.
GAAGUAUGUCCCAAAUAUCGCAACGGGACAUUGUUAUACUAAAAUUAUUCGGCGUUCAUAUCUGAAAUGCAAAUUAAACUGGGCGCCUUUGUGUUUUUAUUUGCCAAAUCUGGUACCCCUAGGCUGGUGUCAGUCCCACCCCUUCCUCCUCACUGGGAGGGCUCGCUGAUUUCCGCCCCCAGGUCCACCGGAAGCACCCAUGCCAAGACCUCAGUCCACCUCUCAAGCUCCCCUUCGUCUUCUGCCUUAAGGUUGGAUGCACCUACUGGUAAUACCUGUUGUGAUGGGAGCACCUGCCCCCACAGUCAACCUCCGUGCCUGGGACCUGGUGUGUGCAGGUGCCACACGGCCUCCUGAGGACACAGGCAAAUCAGUCACGGUGUCUGACCUCAAGGGGACCCAGUUUGGUAAAUGAAGCUUCUGAGAAAUGGAAAAGCACUGAAGUGCUCGUAACUGCUCCCCCUCGCUGCCACCCCCCAGCCGAUGCUGGGACAGAUGUUCACGACAAAGGCGUGGUCACUUCUUCCUGGGAAACCAGAAGAGGCCUCCUGGAGGAGGUGACCUGUGGCCACCUCUGUCCUUGCUCUCGUGUCACGUGCUUGGGCUGCCGUAACAAAGCACCACAGACAGAACAGCUCAAAUGACAGAAAACAUCUUACCCGCAGUUCGGAGGCUGGAGUCCAAGACGAAGGCGUCAGUAGGGCUGGAAGAACAGGAUAUCACACCAGACGAGUCCACUCUGUGACUGAGAUGGAACAAGGUAAGGAUGAGGAUUCUCCAUAGUCCUGUCUUAACACAGACACAAACAAGAACAGUCUAAGCUACAAAAUGACCACACAGCAGCCCACCCCAUCCUGCCCCUAAUCCAGAGUAACAUGAAUGACUGCGCGAAUAUUUACCAAAUGUGGCUUUAGCCUUUGCUAUGGACUGAAUGCUGUAUCUUCCCCCCAACAUUCAAGUGUUGAGGCCCGAAUCCCCGGUGCCGUGGUAUUUGGAGGUGCGGCCUUUGGGAGGUGAUUAGGUUAGGAGGGUAGAGUUUCCUGAAUGAGAUUUGUGUGCCCUUAUAAAAGAGACCCUAGACGGCACCCUUACCCCUUCUGCCACAUGAGGACAAGUGAAAAGCCCUCCAUGAACCAGGACGUGUGUUCUCACAAGACACCGGAUAUGUUGGUGUCUUGAUCUUGAAUUUCUCAGCCUUCAGAACUGUGAGAAAUAAAUUUCUGUUGUCCAUAA